GGCUGGUAGCUCAGCCCGGUAGAGCAUUCGACUUUUAAUCGAAGGGUCGCGGGUUCGAACCCCGUCCAGCCUACCA
Molecule: transfer RNA, 76 nt
Filed under: Candidatus Woesearchaeota archaeon
Lineage: Archaea; Nanobdellati; Candidatus Woesearchaeota
Description: tRNA-Lys
Rfam family: tRNA
About the family: Transfer RNA (tRNA) molecules are approximately 80 nucleotides in length. Their secondary structure includes four short double-helical elements and three loops (D, anti-codon, and T loops).
Source: RNAcentral